This 488-nucleotide long non-coding RNA is filed under the name Sus scrofa (pig). Its description in RNAcentral is "lncRNA (ENSSSCG00015050436.1)". Lineage: Eukaryota; Metazoa; Chordata; Mammalia; Artiodactyla; Suidae. The record is from RNAcentral.
CACAAUUGGGACUGGCUAUACUGCUGUGCUGAAAAGAAGUCUCAGGCCUCAGAGAAAAAGAAUACCGUGGAGAUGUCUGCCAGAGGAAGACAGAAUCACAACAGGAACCAGUUUCCUUGUAGACAUCUCCCAAGAGUCUUUCCUUGAUCUGCCUUCCGCAUGCUUCUUACUUGGUGAGUUUCAUUUUGUUUUUACUUUUCCACAAUGUGUAUUGUACUUUGUCACAUUAUAUCUUUAUUGGGUUUAUUCUAUCUUUUCCAUUAUUUUGAAAAAAAUGUCCAAAGCAAUGACUAGUAUACUGCAGACUCUUUUUUGUAAACAUGUAUUGAACAAAUAGGUGGUCAUGAGCCAGAGGUUAUGUUAUUAUCUCAAGUACUCUUGAAACAAUCCUUCUAGGCAUGAGUAACAUUAUUUCAAAUUCCACACAUGGGAAAACAGAUUUAAAUAUGUCAAAUAAAUUUAACAGAUGCAUGUAGGUACUAAAUAUU